Molecule: ribosomal RNA, 506 nt
Filed under: uncultured bacterium
Lineage: Bacteria
Description: partial 16S ribosomal RNA
Rfam family: Bacterial small subunit ribosomal RNA
Source: RNAcentral
AGUGAACGCUGGCGGUAGGCCUAACACAUGCAAGUCGAACGGCAGCACAGGAGAGCUUGCUCUCUGGGUGGCGAGUGGCGGACGGGUGAGGAAUACAUCGGAAUCUACUUUUUCGUGGGGGAUAACGUAGGGAAACUUACGCUAAUACCGCAUACGACCUACGGGUGAAAGCAGGGGAUCUUCGGACCUUGCGCGAUUGAAUGAGCCGAUGUCGGAUUAGCUAGUUGGCGGGGUAAAGGCCCACCAGGGCGACGAUCCGUAGCUGGUCUGAGAGGAUGAUAAGCCACACUGGAACUGAGACACGGUCCAGACUCCUACGGUAGGCAGCAGUGGGGAAUAUUGGACAAUGGGCGCAAGCCUGAUCCAGCCAUACCGCGUGGGUGAAGAAGGCCUUCGGGUUGUAAAGCCCUUUUGUUGGGAAAGAAAUCCAGCUGGUUAAUACCCGGUUGGGAUGACGGUACCCAAAGAAUAAGCACCGGCUAACUUCGUGCCAGCAGCCGCCGUAA